This 254-nucleotide ribosomal RNA is filed under the name uncultured bacterium. RNAcentral describes it as "partial 16S ribosomal RNA". It matches the Rfam family "Bacterial small subunit ribosomal RNA", at positions 524 to 776 of the family's 1533-position model. The record is from RNAcentral.
UACGAAGGGGGCUAGCGUUGCUCGGAAUCACUGGGCGUAAAGCGCACGUAGGCGGACUCUUAAGUCGGUGGUGAAAUCCUGGAGCUCAACUCCAGAACUGCCUUCGAUACUGUCGUGACUCGAGUCCGGUAGGGGAGUGUGGAAUUCCCGGUGUAGCGGUGAAAUGCGCAGAUAUCAGGAAGAACACCCGUGGCGAAGGCGGCUCUCUGGGACGGUACUGACGCUGAGACGCGAAAGCGUGGGGAGCGAACAGG